Molecule: ribosomal RNA, 484 nt
Filed under: uncultured bacterium
Lineage: Bacteria
Description: partial 16S ribosomal RNA
Rfam family: Bacterial small subunit ribosomal RNA
Source: RNAcentral
AUUGAACGCUGGCGGCAGGCCUAACACAUGCAAGUCGAGCGGAUGAAGGGAGCUUGCUCCUGGAUUCAGCGGCGGACGGGUGAGUAAUGCCUAGGAAUCUGCCUGGUAGUGGGUGAUAACGUCCGGAAACGGGCGCUAAUACCGCAUACGUCCUGAGGGAGAAAGUGGGGGAUCUUCGGACCUCACGCUAUCAGAUGAGCCUAGGUCGGAUUAGCUAGUUGGUGGGGUAAAGGCCUACCAAGGCGACGAUCCGUAACUGGUCUGAGAGGAUGAUCAGUCACACUGGAACUGAGACACGGUCCAGGCUACUACGGGAGGCAGCAGUGGGGAACAUUGGACAGUGGGCGAAAGCCUGAUCCAGCCAUGCCGCGUGUGUGAAGAAGGUCUUCGGAUUGUAAAGAACUUUAAGUUGGGAGGAAGGGCAGUAAGUUAAUACCUUGCUGUUUUGACGUUAACAACAGAAUAAGCACCGGCUAACUUCGUG